CUUCUGGCCAAUAUAAAAACACGCGAACCGUGACGUUUUUCUUGCCACGUAACCAGCUAUCAGAACUUCCAGUAUUUCUCCACCAGAGAUGUUACUUCCUUUUGGAGGCUUCACAAAUGUGGAAAAUCCGAAAUAAACCAUAACCGACGAGAUGGGUCAACGAUGUGUUCACAACUCACG
Long non-coding RNA from Trachymyrmex cornetzi, 180 nucleotides. RefSeq lists it as uncharacterized. The transcript is spliced from 3 exons. NCBI's taxonomy places the organism in Eukaryota, Metazoa, Arthropoda, Insecta, Hymenoptera, Formicidae. The record is from RefSeq and is a predicted model, not a curated record.